GGCUCAGAUUGAACGCUGGCGGCAGGCCUAACACAUGCAAGUCGAGCGGUAGAGAGAAGCUUGCUUCUCUUGAGAGCGGCGGACGGGUGAGUAAUGCCUAGGAAUCUGCCUGGUAGUGGGGGAUAACGUUCGGAAACGAACGCUAAUACCGCAUACGUCCUACGGGAGAAAGCAGGGGACCUUCGGGCCUUGCGCUAUCAGAUGAGCCUAGGUCGGAUUAGCUAGUUGGUGAGGUAAUGGCUCACCAAGGCGACGAUCCGUAACUGGUCUGAGAGGAUGAUCAGUCACACUGGAACUGAGACACGGUCCAGACUCCUACGGGAGGCAGCAGUGGGGAAUAUUGGACAAUGGGCGAAAGCCUGAUCCAGCCAUGCCGCGUGUGUGAAGAAGGUCUUCGGAUUGUAAAGCACUUUAAGUUGGGAGGAAGGGCAGUUACCUAAUACGUGAUUGUUUUGACGUUACCGACAGAAUAAGCACCGGCUAACUCUGUGCCAGCAGCCGCGGUAAUACAGAGGGUGCAAGCGUUAAUCGGAAUUACUGGGCGUAAAGCGCGCGUAGGUGGUUUGUUAAGUUGGAUGUGAAAUCCCCGGGCUCAACCUGGGAACUGCAUUCAAAACUGACUGACUAGAGUAUGGUAGAGGGUGGUGGAAUUUCCUGUGUAGCGGUGAAAUGCGUAGAUAUAGGAAGGAACACCAGUGGCGAAGGCGACCACCUGGACUAAUACUGACACU
Molecule: ribosomal RNA, 731 nt
Filed under: Pseudomonas sp. 110623_PC_C1_A12
Lineage: Bacteria; Pseudomonadati; Pseudomonadota; Gammaproteobacteria; Pseudomonadales; Pseudomonadaceae
Description: bacterial SSU rRNA
Rfam family: Bacterial small subunit ribosomal RNA
Source: RNAcentral